AUUGAACGCUGGCGGCAGGCUUAACACAUGCAAGUCGAGCGAGCGGCGGACGGGUGAGUAAUGUCUGGGAACCUGCCUGAUGGAGGUGGAUAACUACUGUUAACGGUAGCUAAUACCGCAUACCAUCAGAUGUGCCCAGAUGGGAUUAGCUAGUAGGUGGGGUAAUGGCUCACCUAGGCGACGAUCCCUCGCUGGUCUGAGAGGAUGACCAGCCACACGGGAAGAGAGACACGGUACAGACUACUAGGGGAGGCAGCAGGGGGGAAUAUUGCACAAUGGGCGCAAGCGUGAUGCAGGCAUGCCGCGUGUGUGAAGAAGGCUCUCGGGUUGUAAAGCACUUUCAGCGAAGAGGCGUUACUCGCAGAAGAAGCACCGGCUAAUUCCGUGCCAGCAGCCGCGGUAUUC
RNAcentral lists this ribosomal RNA (405 nucleotides) under uncultured bacterium. RNAcentral describes it as "partial 16S ribosomal RNA". It matches the Rfam family "Bacterial small subunit ribosomal RNA", at positions 30 to 525 of the family's 1533-position model. The record is from RNAcentral.